Molecule: long non-coding RNA, 1227 nt
Organism: Cyprinus carpio (common carp)
Lineage: Eukaryota; Metazoa; Chordata; Actinopteri; Cypriniformes; Cyprinidae
Source: Ensembl
GCUCUCAAGUCCCUGGUGUGUUGGGGAUGAAUGUACUUGGGCGAUGCUACCAGGAGCUCUUUGGACAGCAUGGCCCCUCUUUGUUCGAUUUUCCUCCGGUUUCUAGUGCGCCACUUUCAGUUUUUCAAGCCUUACAACACUGCCAUCAAGGUAGCGAACAAUCUCUCGUUGAGUGUAUGACUAAGGUAAGGGUGCGUGGUCCUCGGGCAUGUCGUGUCACAGGUGGUACUAUUAAGUUGGUUGCAGCAACCUGUGCAGAACAGUUGGCAGGUAGUACAGUACUGUUCGAGCCCAUUGAGUCUGGGUUACCUGAAGGGUUGUUGGCAUCCCCCGCCUUGGUGCGAGUGAUUGGAGGCUCAGUUUAUGUGCCAGUGGUCAACAUAGGCACGUCUGAUGUCCUCCUUUAUCCACGCAGAGUAUUGGGUACUCUGGUUAGAGCGAAUGUUGUUAGUUUGCCGGCAGGUGUUACUGAAGUUAGACCCACUACAGCAAAUGUGUACUCUCAAGCCACUCUAGCAGUUAGUGCCCCCGUUUUAGAGCAGAUUGCAAAAGUAGAUCUGACUGCAUUACCAGAACUGGAACAGGGAAAGGUGAGGGCCUUGCUUACAAAGUAUCAGAUGGUAUUCUCUGAACAUGACGGUGAUUUGGGAUGUACAAGUCUUAUAUCUCAUGAUAUCCCACUCUUAGAUGACAUCCCUGUGCGUCAGCGACAUCGCCGGGUGCCUCCCUCUGAGUAUGAGGUUGUUCGAGCCCACAUCAAUCAGCUGUUGGAGUCUCGGGUAAUUAGGGAAAGUUGCAGCCCAUAUGCCUCCCCAAUCGUCUUGGUAAAAAAAAAGGAUGGUAGUCUACGCUUAUGUGUUGACUACCGCCAGUUAAACGCCAAGACUAGAAAGGAUGCAUUUCCUUUGCCUCGGAUUGAGGAGUCACUGGAUGCGUUGACAGGGGCCUGUUGGUUUUCCACUAUGGAUUUAGCUAGUGGUUAUAACCAGGUCCCUGUCACAGAGGGGGAUAAGCCGAAGACCGCUUUUUGCACCCCAUUUGGCUUGUUUGAAUGGAAUCGUAUGCCCUUUGGGUUGUGCAAUGCCCCCUCUACCUUCCAGCGACUUAUGGAGAGGGUAUUCGGGGACCAACAGUGUCAGUCCUUACUUUUAUAUCUAGACGAUAUUGUGGUGUUCUCCACCUCGAUCACUCAACACUUGGAGAGGUUAGAGGUUGUUUUAAGCCGUC